Small nuclear RNA from Cercocebus atys (sooty mangabey), 105 nucleotides. Lineage: Eukaryota; Metazoa; Chordata; Mammalia; Primates; Cercopithecidae. The record is from Ensembl.
GUGCUUGCUUUGGCAACACAUAUACUAAACACUGGAAUGAUACGAAGAUUAGCAUGGCCCUUGAACAAGGAUAACAUGCAAAUUCAUGAAGUGUCCCAUAUUUUU